Molecule: long non-coding RNA, 528 nt
Organism: Nomascus leucogenys (northern white-cheeked gibbon)
Lineage: Eukaryota; Metazoa; Chordata; Mammalia; Primates; Hylobatidae
Exons: 3
Source: RefSeq, a predicted model, not a curated record
UUUCUCCUUUAAACUUUAGAGGAGUUUCUGCACUGAGAGACUGAAAUGGCCAUCGUCCGGAAAGAGCUAGAGCUAAACAUCUGGGAAGAAAUCCAUCUCAUUAAGACUUUCAGCAACGAUUGCCUCAGGGUACUGUGGAAGUGAUGCUAUGUGCCUUGUAAGGCUAGGUGACAAAAAUGCCAUGCAUUUCUACCUUGUUCUCUUAUGGCACUCACUCUUGGAAUCCAGCCUCCCAUAAAGCUACUGUGAGGAAACCCAUAGUAGCCCAUGCAGAAAGAUCACAUGGAGAGGUAACCAGCUUAGCCAAGGCCCCAGUCAUCAUAGAACAGGGACAAGCCUUUCCCAGUGUGCCGUGUUUGAAUUCCUUACUCACACAAUUGUGAGCAUAAUAAAAUGAUUUCUUCAUGCCCACUAAAUUUUGGAGUGAUUUAUUACACAACAAUGGUAACUGGAACAACCACAUAAAGCUUAACAUCUAACAAGGAAUAAAGAUACAAAAUACCUGAUUCCGAGGUAUUACCUACACCU